GGUUAAGUGAAUAAGGGCGCACGGUGGAUGCCUUGGCACUAGGAGCCGAUGAAGGACGGGACUAACACCGAUAUGCUUUGGGGAGCUGUAAGUAAGCUAUGAUCCAGAGAUUUCCGAAUGGGGGAACCCAAUAUCUUUUAUAGGAUAUUACUUUUCAGUGAAUACAUAGCUGAUUAGAGGUAGACGCAGAGAACUGAAACAUCUUAGUACCUGCAGGAAGAGAAAGAAAAUUCGAUUCCCUGAGUAGCGGCGAGCGAAACGGGAAGAGCCCAAACCAACAAGCUUGCUUGUUGGGGUUGUAGGACUCCGAUAUGGUAGUCUGUUAGUAUAGUUGAAGGAUUUGGAAAAUUCCGCUAAAGAGGGUGAAAGCCCCGUAGACGAAAUGCUGACAACACCUAGGAGGAUCCUGAGUACGGCGGAACACGAGAAAUUCCGUCGGAAUCCGCGGGGACCAUCCCGCAAGGCUAAAUACUCCCUAGUGACCGAUAGUGAACCAGUACCGUGAGGGAAAGGUGAAAAGCACCCCGGAAGGGGAGUGAAAUAGAUCCUGAAACCGUGUGCCUACAACAAGUCAAAGCUCGUUAAUGAGUGAUGGCGUGCCUUUUGUAGAAUGAACCGGCGAGUUACGAUUGCAUGCGAGGUUAAGUCGAAGAGACGGAGCCGCAGCGAAAGCGAGUCUGAAUAGGGCGAAUGAGUAUGUAGUCGUAGACCCGAAACCAUGUGAUCUACCCAUGUCCAGGUUGAAGGUGCGGUAAAACGCACUGGAGGACCGAACCCACGUACGUUGAAAAGUGCGGGGAUGAGGUGUGGGUAGCGGAGAAAUUCCAAACGAACUUGGAGAUAGCUGGUUCUCUCCGAAAUAGCUUUAGGGCUAGCCUCGGANGGUGCGGUAAAACGCACUGGAGGACCGAACCCACGUACGUUGAAAAGUGCGGGGAUGAGGUGUGGGUAGCGGAGAAAUUCCAAACGAACUUGGAGAUAGCUGGUUCUCUCCGAAAUAGCUUUAGGGCUAGCCUCGGAAUUGAGAAUGAUGGAGGUAGAGCACUGUUUGGACUAGGGGCCCAUCUCGGGUUACCGAAUUCAGAUAAACUCCGAAUGCCAUUCAUUUAUAUCCGGGAGUCAGACUGCGAGUGAUAAGAUCCGUAGUCGAAAGGGAAACAGCCCAGACCACCAGCUAAGGUCCCAAAAUAUAUGUUAAGUGGAAAAGGAUGUGGGGUUGCACAGACAACUAGGAUGUUGGCUUAGAAGCAGCCACCAUUUAAAGAGUGCGUAAUAGCUCACUAGUCGAGUGACCCUGCGCCGAAAAUGUACCGGGGCUAAACAUAUUACCGAAGCUGUGGACUACACCAUUAGGUGUAGUGGUAGGAGAGCGUUCUAAGGGCGUUGAAGGUCGAUCGUGAGGACGGCUGGAGCGCUUAGAAGUGAGAAUGCCGGUAUGAGUAGCGAAAGACAGGUGAGAAUCCUGUCCACCGUAUGACUAAGGUUUCCUGGGGAAGGCUCGUCCGCCCAGGGUUAGUCGGGACCUAAGCCGAGGCCGAUAGGCGUAGGCGAUGGACAACAGGUUGAUAUUCCUGUACCAGUUGUUUUUGUUUGAGCAAUGGAGGGACGCAGUAGGCUAAGGAAUGCAUGCGAUUGGAAGUGCAUGUCCAAGCAAUGAGUCUUGAGUAGAGUUAAAUGCUUUACUCUCUAAGGACAAGUUGUGACGGGGAGCGAAAUAAUAGUAGCGAAGUUCCUGAUGUCACACUGCCAAGAAAAGCUUCUAGUGAGAAAACAACUGCCCGUACCGUAAACCGACACAGGUAGUCGAGGAGAGUAUCCUAAGGUGAGCGAGCGAACUCUCGUUAAGGAACUCGGCAAAAUGACCCCGUAACUUCGGGAGAAGGGGUGCUGACUUCGGUCAGCCGCAGUGAAUAGGCCCAAGCGACUGUUUAUCAAAAACACAGGUCUCUGCAAAAUCGUAAGAUGAAGUAUAGGGGCUGACGCCUGCCCGGUGCUGGAAGGUUAAGAGGAUGGGUUAGCUUCGGCGAAGCUCAGAAUUGAAGCCCCAGUAAACGGCGGCCGUAACUAUAACGGUCCUAAGGUAGCGAAAUUCCUUGUCGGGUAAGUUCCGACCCGCACGAAAGGCGUAACGAUUUGGGCACUGUCUCAACGAGAGACUCGGUGAAAUUUUAGUACCUGUGAAGAUGCAGGUUACCCGCGACAGGACGGAAAGACCCCAUGGAGCUUUACUGUAGUUUGAUAUUGAGUGUUUGUACCACAUGUACAGGAUAGGUAGGAGCCGAUGAGACCGGAACGCUAGUUUCGGAGGAGGCGCUGGUGGGAUACUACCCUUGUGUUAUGAACCCUCUAACCCGCACCACUAAUCGUGGUGGGAGACAGUGUCAGAUGGGCAGUUUGACUGGGGCGGUCGCCUCCUAAAAGGUAACGGAGGCGCCCAAAGGUUCCCUCAGAAUGGUUGGAAAUCAUUCGAAGAGUGUAAAGGCAGAAGGGAGCUUGACUGCGAGACCUACAAGUCGAGCAGGGACGAAAGUCGGGCUUAGUGAUCCGGUGGUUCCGCAUGGAAGGGCCAUCGCUCAACGGAUAAAAGCUACCCUGGGGAUAACAGGCUUAUCUCCCCCAAGAGUCCACAUCGACGGGGAGGUUUGGCACCUCGAUGUCGGCUCGUCGCAUCCUGGGGCUGUAGUCGGUCCCAAGGGUUGGGCUGUUCGCCCAUUAAAGCGGCACGCGAGCUGGGUUCAGAACGUCGUGAGACAGUUCGGUCCCUAUCCGUCGCGGGCGUUGGAAAUUUGAGAGGAGCUGUCCUUAGUACGAGAGGACCGGGAUGGACUUACCGCUGGUGUACCAGUUGUUCUGCCAAGGGCAUUGCUGGGUAGCUAUGUAGGGAAGGGAUAAACGCUGAAAGCAUCUAAGUGUGAAGCCCACCUCAAGAUGAGAUUUCCCAUUUCUUUAAGAAAGUAAGACCCCUGAGAGAUGAUCAGGUAGAUAGGUUGGAAGUGGAAGGCUAGUGAUAGUUGGAGCGGACCAAUACUAAUCGGUCGAGGACUUAACCAA
RNAcentral lists this ribosomal RNA (3051 nucleotides) under Pseudomonas plecoglossicida. RNAcentral's name for it is "23S ribosomal RNA". It matches the Rfam family "Bacterial large subunit ribosomal RNA". The record is from RNAcentral. Lineage: Bacteria; Pseudomonadati; Pseudomonadota; Gammaproteobacteria; Pseudomonadales; Pseudomonadaceae.